This 496-nucleotide ribosomal RNA is filed under the name uncultured bacterium. RNAcentral describes it as "bacterial SSU rRNA". It matches the Rfam family "Bacterial small subunit ribosomal RNA", at positions 28 to 536 of the family's 1533-position model. The record is from RNAcentral.
GACGAACGCUGGCGGCGUGCUUAAAACAUGCAAGUCGAACGGACUUCUCAUGAAGCUUGCGAUUGAGAAGUUAGUGGCGGACGGGUGAGUAACGCGUGGGCAACCUGCCCCUGAGCCCGGGAUAACAGUUCGAAAGGACUGCUAAGACCGGAUAUACUUGCGGGGAAGCAUUUCACUGCAAGGAAAGGGAACGCUCAGGGGAUGGGCCCGCGUCCCAUUAGCUAGUUGGUGAGGUAACGGCCACCAAGGCGACGAUGGGUAGCCGGCCUGAGAGGGUGAACGGCCACACUGGGACUGAGACACGGCCCAGACUCCUACGGGAGGCAGCAGUGGGGAAUAUUGGGCAAUGGGCGAAAGCCUGACCCAGCAACGCCGCGUGAAGGAAGAAGGCCUUCGGGUUGUAAACUUCUUUGACCAGGGACGAAAAAAUAGACGGUACCUGGAAACAAGACCACGGCUAACUACGUGCCAGCAGCCGCGGUAAUCGAUACUCGUA